Molecule: long non-coding RNA, 1290 nt
Organism: Ananas comosus (pineapple)
Lineage: Eukaryota; Viridiplantae; Streptophyta; Magnoliopsida; Poales; Bromeliaceae
Exons: 2
Source: RefSeq, a predicted model, not a curated record
AUGCACAAUUAAGUGAAUGAUGUUAUUAUAGUGCUUAACCUUUGAGUUAAAUCAUGCAAUUUCAUAUUGUAGACAUGAUGACAGAAUUUCUAGCAUAUCAUAUAUAGUGGAGCUACAUACAUAUACAUUUAUAUUGUGCAAUGAAUUAUGUAGAAACAAUGUGUAGAAUACUUUAUGUGAUAUUUCCCAUACUUGUGUAGACAAGUUGAUUAUGACUUUCACAUGGCAGAACCAGUAUGAAUUUCGUGUUCUUGUAUAUAAUCUAGUUAAGUAACUAGAACUGGGCAUUAUGAUAUAAGCUCCGACCUAGGGGUCGUGAGAUAAUAUAUUUGCAUGGUCAGAUAGAAGUAAUUGCAUAAUAAUUAUAUACUCCAUGUAGUGGAGGCCUAUGUAGAAGUACAUGACAUAUGCUAUGAGUUUGUAUGAACACCAUAGUGAAUUAGUGACUAUGACAUUAGUAAACCACUUUUCUUAUGUUAUAGGGAGUAGUGAAUGGACUAUAUGUGAAUAUGCGGGUGUAGCCCAUUAGAAUCAUCUAUAAGAUGUAAAUUAGUGUAUGCUUAAGUCAUAUUAUCUAUUGGUAGAAAUAUGUCACCAAAUAGUUAAAAGUGAAACAUGACUUUAUGUUAAUUGCCGACUUAGUGUCGGGGUAAUUAUGAUUCCAUAUUUGAAACAUGAUGAUUGGGUAUGAGACCUAUGGACCUUAUACUAUGGAUUACGCUUGCUUGCCAAUGUGCUCAUUCGCACAUACUUGUGAGGGUCGCUCCCCACAAGCCGGCACUCCGGAGUUGGCCUACGCGACAUCAGAUCACCCGUGCGGAACUGAGCACCGAAGUGGAUUGUCGUGGGUAGUGUUGACUUCCACGGGACCAUUAGGUACGGUGCAGCCGAGACUUUACCAUAGAAUCUUCCAUAACAGAAAAGAUUAGGGUUCGUGGUAAGAGAUCAGCGGCUAGCUCCCAGUGGGUAAGCCGCCGAGAAUGAUCAAUUAUACCCGUAGUGGCACGCAGUGUACUGUAAGAAAGCUGCGACGAGAAUAUCGCACUGUGAGAGAGUUUGAGAGGGAAUCCUCUCGUUGGGUCAAUUGUAUUGGCCACAAAGUUGCACCAUUUUAUAAAGUUAUUGCACUGCUUGUCGGAUUAUUCCACUAUUUAGAGAGAUCUGACACCAUUUGUCGUCUGUAUUGCACACAAUUAAUUCUCUAUUUUUUUGCAUAACUUUUUUUUUAAAUUUACCCGAAGAGCAAACAGCGAGGAUGACUAAUAAGAUUGAAGGAUUUAGAUCGUUUCC